AUAAGCUGGCCACACUCGUCAAAGCCUGCGCCAACGUAAUCGUGACGAGUCGCUGCCAUUAACCGACAAUCGGCCAUUAUCGGCUGAAAGGAAGCAACAAAACUCAGCAUUUUGCUAUUGCAUCGAACAUUCUUCGUUUCAACUAGUCAAGGUUACGUCCGCGUUUCUAACGUUGCUACCAUUAAGCGCAAUUUAUGAAUUUAUGAAUCGACGGACGAAGGAAAACGUGGACUCGUGUAACGCUACUGUGUCCUCUUCAAAUUUUUCUGUCUCGAGGAAUUUUCUAAUUUUCAUGGCAGAUUCGAGAGCCGAGAGGUUGUUGAUCUCGGCUUUAAAGGAAUUUUACCGCGUAGGUUUUGCCGUAAUUCUAACGCUGGUGAAUAUUAAUUAAUGAAUUACAUGUGGCGCGAUUAGAAAUGUUCAGGAUACGAUGAUUUACUCUCUCGACUUCUCAAUAGGUUUUUUCACCUAUUCCAUUUGAAUUUAGUUCACCGUAUGAAUAAAUAACGCAUUCCAUGAAUUAAAUAUUGACUCUUGGCAGUUGCUAAGAGAUUGAUCGCGAGUCAAUGAACUUUUGCUUUAGUCGCUGCUCCUGACUUCUUUUACGAUGUACAACCUUUUAUGAAAUUACAUAUCCGUGUCUCCUUGCUCGUUUAGCUUGCGCUAUCCGACUAUCAAACCAUUACGUUCAACUAACUUAACCGCUCUUAAUAAUUCCUAAUAAACUCUUAAUAAGAAUCGUUCGAUCAUACAUCUUUACAACCUGACACGUCAUUUACUCGCGAUCCAAAAAGAAAUUAUUCCCAGGAAGAAAUGACAAGUCCUAUACCGUAUACGCGAUACCAGAUACCAUCGAAAUUAAUAAUUAAAAAAUUCAAUGACACGAAGCGUGAAAUUUUACAGCUGAACCGACUCGAUUUCCCUCGACUUCUCACAUAUCGUUCUAAUACACCUGUGCGUAUCUCCAAGCUGUUCGUUCGCUCGCAUCGUCCCAAUGCUUGAAACGAAAGUUGCAUUCGAUGAACGAAGAGUCGUGGUUGUUUUAAUCGAGCUCACGGCCCGACAGAGACUGUCAGUGUAAGAAAACGACGGCUGUAUGGGAGAAUAUCCGGUGGGAUCCAGGAGCGUGCAGCGUUGGUCUACACGAGCGUGACUACGUACAUACGUUAUGAGGACGACGAGAAGGGGCCCUGACGGCCGAUCGGUCACUUUAGACGAGCUGCCAGUCACGCAAUUACAUCAAUCGGUCGUCGACGACCGAUCCAGCCGUGUCGGCCAGAGAAAAAACAACGUGGUCGAUCGGCGCCGCCGUUUCUUCGCGCGCAUGCAAAGAAGCUCUAAAGAGAGAGACAGCUGCCCUUUAACAUCGCGUCCCAAUGGGCCUUCGAUCUCGAUGUAUAGCCGGUAAUGGCGUGUUUAAAAUCGAUACGUGAGAAAUCAAUGGUUUGAAGAAUGAUUCCAAGUAGAUGGUGUACUGAAUGAUUCAUUAGAAACGUGUUGCGAUAUAAUUGAAACGAAAUCCUGUAGUGUUGAAAAAUUCCAAAUUUACCUUCUAUCCUGUGUCGUAUAAUACGCAAAGCUCUAGUAGUCUGGUCCGAUGAAAAGUGACUUUUCGGUGUAGAUUUCGGUAUAGGUAGAAUGGAAAGUUAUUUUUACGUUUGACAAAGUUUCUUUCUUUUUUUUUGGCGAAAAAUUUGCCUUAAUGCGCGAGGUAACGAAAGACAGGUUCGAUUGGAGGAUAUCGUCGCCAGUCGCUCUAUUUAUACUCUUUCGUGUCUCGAUGCUUUGCGAGGGUGCUAUUCUCGUCGGUAACAGAGUGCUUUGCACUCGAACUUGGGCCCACGACGAACGCUAUGGAAACACGAAGAAAGUUACUGCGAGUAAGCAAACGAAGCGUAAGCCUAACGACACGGUGGACCUGCACGGACCUUCGAAAACAACGAUAUCCUUGUCGCGUGGAAAUAUACAUUGAAAGUAGCAAAUGAAAUUACCUAAAUGUAAAUAAGUAACGCAGUGAUAAGACGCGUGAGUCUUAAAACGAAACACAUAUUCGAGUAAAUUAAAGAUCGUUCGAUGAAGAUGAUGAUUUUCGCUGCAAGUAUUAAUUCGUAAUUUUAAAGAAUGAAAUUAAAACGGUACGGUGAAAGUGUUCGUACGUUCGUACACGUGACGCUUAAUCGAGUUGCAGAGAAUGAAUGGAGCUACUGUGAUUCUGAUUCCGCGUAAAUGUGUGAGUGUGUCGACGGGCGAUUAAGUAUCCCCUAUCAAGCGUAUAUUUUUUAAUAAGAAGAAAACAAAACUCGAUGGUCGUGGUAAAUAAUCUGAACAAUUGAAAACAUCAAAUACCACGUUGAAAUUAUUAAACUAAAUUGGAAAUAAGAGGGCGUCAGUUUGUGCAAUCGGUUUAACGUAAAAAAAGAUAGAUUACAGUCGCUUGGAAAGUACGCUUUUCUAUUAUCGGAUUACUCCUUUUUUUCUAACUGUUUUUUUUAAAUCGGUUCAGUUCUUAGAUAGCUUCGAACGCCAUAACGAGAAUCGAUGACGAGUGAAAUUAUAUUUUUAUCGGUACGAAGGAAAUAAGAGGAAAAGUGACGUAAAUCGAAGCAAGCGCAUUCCACUUUUUGGUUAAACUAUCGAGCGUUCCAUUGUUCGCUCGAGCUGUUCGAAACCUCGUCGUGAAAACGUACUACGGCCGUAAACAACGUCAUUUCCCCUGACAGAUCAAUCGUUGCAAAACUGUCGAAAAAGAAUAGCCGAAGAAAAAAGCAAGAACGAAAUUGCAUUUCCAUCCUGGAGAAGCCAGCAAGAAGACAAUCGGCGUGAAACAAACGAAACACCGCAGAGGUUUAUCUCUGAACAGCAAUUCCAAGCGCCUGUUGUACGCGAGCGCGAGCCGCAAUAAAAUCGCAAUAAGAGUCGGAUCGUUCUUAUUGCAACGCGAAGAAUUCAAGAUCUUGUCACCAGCAUUCUUGUUGUUAAUAGUUCGUCAAGCGAGGACAAAGUGGCCGUGAUUUUUAUUGGUAGCCGCGAAUAAAGUAGCGACGGCCAUUCGUUUUGACAAAUCCUCGGGCAAGAAACGAAUAUCCACGGCGAAGCCGGUAGAGAGAUCGGCAACACGAUCGUAAUUCAAGCAGGAUCAAGUGUUAAUUGGCCUUGUUAGAACGAUGCUGAGCUAGCGGCCCGAGGCAACGGCGCCUUCUAAUUACAAUUUUCCGUUUUUCCAUCUUUUGUUUUUCUUCUCGGUGUUUUUCCUGCACGAGCUUCCUUCUCGAACCACGCUUCGGCGAGUGGGCGGCUUUCAUCGUUAGAACGCGGCUUGCCAAUGGCAAUUCAUCGCCACUUUCACUGGAUGCUACUGCCGCUGCUCGCGUUUCUCGAAUGUGCCGUUUUAUUGUCUAAGUGGCGACGAUAUCGCGCCACCGAACAACGAGGGAAUGUUCUCUCGCCUCUCGCGCUUAACAAACGUGCGUACUGUUUUAUUAACCGUGAUGGUUAGUUCUCUCGAACUGAUUGCUUCCUUCGACUAUUUUGAUAAUCGUCUUGCUAACGUUGCAUACGAAAAGCUUCUUCUUGCAGCAAGCGAGCUCUAGUUUUAAAUAAUAUUCCUACGAGAAUUCGAUGUUUCUAAAUUAAUUUCAUCAAUUUUCGCAGUCGGAACGAGCCCUUCCUCUUGUCAAAAAUAUUCUUCAUUUUGAGAAAAAUACAGAAGAAUCUAAAGAACUCAAGGACAUCCAAUUACCUUUGACACCGACAUCGACAUCGUGCGAUCUAAUGAAACUAACCAUCGAGGGAAGCGUUGGAAACCACACGCCGUAAUAACAGGCCGAUUUCUAUGGAAACAUUCACUGUGGCGUUUCAUCGUGAAGGAUGGAUCGGAGUCGUUCUGCUCUGUAAUCACUGACUGAACGCAUCGAAGGUAAUAGAUAGAGUGUGAAUCAUAAACCUUGUCUACGCUUCUCUUGGAAGACCUCCAUCCUGGCUGUAAAAGCUCUUUUUAGUAGCGCUUAACCGUACACCCUUUUCUUCUCCUUGUGACACGUUUAGCACAUCGCCAGGCCAUUAGUCGACCGGUCGAUUUUUCAGCGAGCCACGUUGAUGAACCAACGGCGAACCGGCCGAUAAUUUCUAUUUGCACUACCAUAGAAGGAAAAACAUCGUGUAAUCUUUAUUUGAAAAGCAUAUUUUCCCGGUUUAAUCCGAUUGAAAAUGAUGUGGAGGUAGCGUAUUUGCGAAACAUAUCGCAUGAUACGAUAGACGUGUGUUUGUGAUUAAAUAAAUAGAAGUAAACGAGGGUGAGAGGUAUACGAUCGCGUCGUAGGAAUUUUAUGCAAAGAAUACAUCGGUUUCAAUGGAAUUCGAAAAACAGCGUUCCAUCUCCUGAAUGAAUCUUCAUUCUUUGAAUUCAUUUGAAAAGAAUUUUUAUUAAGGAUUAUUUAUUGAAGGAAAAUUUACAAACAUUCGACUUAACGGCUGAAAGAUGUCAGUAAGUCAGAACUUCUUUUCAGAUUAUUCCGACGCAAGAACACAAUUGUGGCAAAGAACUGUGUCUAAAGAUUCUGACGAUCGUCAGUAGCGCGAUAUAUGUUUCGUGAUAAUCGACAAGAACCUCCUAAGUUUUAAAAUAAUAAAUAAUAAAUAAUAAAGAAGUAUUAAUCGAUGCGUUAAGGUGCUUCGCACGUUUAUGCAUAUCGGUGUAAACACGCAUAUGUAUUUGCAUGCUGAUAUAGGUGUUACCGGCAGUUCUUUACGACAAACGGAAACGUACACGUGAGCAAAUCUACAGGAAUAAAAAUUACGUGGUGGCAGAUGUUUGCGGAUGUUCGUCUUGCGUAUUAAACCACGAAGUAGACAAUGAAACAGAAGGAUGGAACGAAAGAUAUUAAUAGAAAUGGUAUGAUCGGAGCGACCACAACGGUUUCGGCGAAAUUUCGUAAAACUACAAUUUCUACUAAAAAUUUUUAAAGCUUCCUUCCCGAUGACGGCACCUUCUUCAAACCUAAAAAUGAGUCAAUUUCCCCGAAGGCUGUUCUCGUCGAUUCACGACGCAUCGAUGAUCUCACGUGCUGUUUUGCAACACCAACGUCAUCUCCUACGAGCGAUUGAAAAUUGACAAAGCACAGAACUCGCCUGAUAGAAAAUCAGCCGUUCCACGAUGCGAUCUAUGUCGUCGAAGGACGCGAAUGUUAAUGAAACGCUCGUAUAAUGCACAGCUGGAAAAGUAAACGUUCCAAUGCGAAUUAUAUCUACGCGGUAACGACAAAUGGUAGUCGGUCGACAGACGAGAAGCGAACAUGGCGAUUCGCGUCCAGAAAAGGCAACAAUGAGCAAAUAUCCAGAUAGAACGAGCAGCGCGCGGCUUCAUAAACGAUCUAGCCGUUAAGAACGCGCCUUACGAUUCUCGGGAAAAGCGACAGCAAACGUUGGCCCGCUUGGCCGCUACAAAUUGUUUAAUUGCUCGACUCUCGCCGCGGAAUUUCUCGACGAUGAGCUCACACGUCUGCGAUGCGUCGCACUUCCGCGAGGAUAUCGACGUUUUCUGACGAACCAUUUUUAUCAGUUUCGCCGAAGGUGGCUCGUCUUGCGAAAGUAACGUCGACGUAUCGAUCUUCUACGGCGAAACGCUGGAUCAUCGGUGACCGAAAAAAAUGUCAGACGCCAGCGAGUCAGAAGCCACUUAAACGCGUCAGAUUCUGCUAAGUUCAUCUUGGUCUCGAGAAGCUUAGCAAGAAAAUGUAGAGCACACGCGUGACAGGAAGCGCAUCAGUCCGCAGCGCGUAAAACACGCGAGCGCGUGCAAGAUUUGCUUCGCGAAGGAACGCUUGACUUUAAUUGCGGGAAAGUGUGACGCUAGGACAACCCACGCGGCAUAUUUCUGCCCCUGAAAAGAAUCUGCCCUUGGUACGCGAACGUGCACCGAGCACAGGAGGAAGUCUUAAAAUCGUUUUUCUCGUUGAACCCUCCUUUACUUGUUUUUCUUCCUUAUCGCGCCAAAACAGAUAAGGCGAACUAACUAUGCCGUUUUCUCACGCCAACGGUCAUUCCUAAACGAUGAACCUCUUAGAUUCUUCUCUUUCUUUCUUCUACGUUAAAAUUAGAAGAAGGAAAUUACACGCUCCGAAUCGUAUUCUUCGUUAUGAUAUAAUUUUACGUCGAUUCCUUUUUUCUUGGAACCGCGGAAGAUGAUCGACCGGAAAGGCUUCCGAAAUAUCCCAACAACGUGGCAGUGCCAUGCAUAAGUAACUUUUAGAAUCUGCGCUGAAAGUCUGGUGGACCAGUGAUAACCAGUAGAUAACAGAAAAAUGCAGGACAUUCCAAAGUAGUUUAUCUUCGAACAAUGGCACGAACGUUAUCGCGAAGAACAGAAGAAAGUGCACUUUCCGUAAUGGAUUCAACGCUUAACCGUUCAGCUCCUGUUUGCAUUCGGAUAGAUUUUAAAAUAACACUUUGUUCGUGUCUGCCACUUAUCUAUUGGUUUCGUGCGAGUUCCCUAUACCAUCGAGCUACUUUUCUUUAUGUGAAAAGAAAGAAUAGAAACUAAGAGACGUUCCAGCUCUGUUAAGAUUCAGUUUUUCGUGCCAUUUAACGAACCCUACCGUAAAAACGCAGAGGAGUAAAUAAUUUCAGAAAAAUUAAGGAAAGAACCGAUGAAAUCGAGUGAUUCGACUAUUAACAUGAAACGAAUUAAGAAAGAAGAAGAAAAAGUGAAACAAGCAGCCGAUUCACCGGCUCCGAGAAAAUCGAUACGUCUUUUGUCAUUAAAACACCAUGGCAGACCUGCAUGGACGACAGGAAAUAUCCUGUUACCGUGCGUAUUUAUGGUCGCCAUGCCUCGAGGAUACGGCCACAUGUCGCGGAGUAUCCUUGUCUUUGUCGGAGAGAAAGUUCGUCCCGUGGGAUUUCUCAAAGGACAAACGAUUUACCACUUGAGAAAACGAAGCUCGUGCUACCCUUCGAACAAGCACGCAAAACGGAAAGAGGAGAGAGCUCUUCAGACGCUGUUUACAACUGUUUAUAGCAUCGUGAAUGCACGUAAUCCAUUUACAUAUGUAUCGUUGGCUGCGACAAGGGUCUCAGUGCCAAAAAUAACUUUUUGAGAGAAAAUGUUUACCAACCACCCGCUAUUCAGAGACUCGAGGCUUUCUUGACUUCAGUCUAACUACGUUCAUCAAAAUCGGCGAUUCCAUGUACAUAUAAGCCGUGACUUUUUCGAAUUUAUCUUGGAAAAGACCGAGACAGACCGGAGAGGUUGUAGUUUGACCCACCGUUCAAAGCAAGACACCUGUUUCUUGGAUCAAACUAUUCUUGGAAAGAGCGAGAAUCGCUAAAAAUUCUGUAGAACGUCUACGGUGAUUAUUUAAAAGCGUGGCCUCCUCGUCGAUUUCAGUGACCUUAAAAAUCAAGGUCGCCAUUCUGAACAGCUCUUUCCCACACACGCGACCGCUGUUCGGCUUUAUAUUCAAGAUAUUGGCAAAAAGCUUUUGUUAAAUUUACCUCAUGAAUAUUCAUGAAUUAUCAUUGCAGCGUGAAUUCUGGCAUAGGCGGUCGCCUAAUGGCGACCACAUUCCUAUAACACAGCCUUAUAAAUAAACCUACGGAUUAAAGGAAAAAAUUAAUGGGUUAUAAGUUGGGCUAAAUUUAUAUCCGAUCGUCGAGUGGCGGCCGGCAACGCUAGCAUAGAAAUACAUAUAUAUAUAUACUGCCAAUUAUAGAUUUAAAUUCAACGAAAGAUCUUUGCAAAUAUCUCGAGAAGGUUUUUCAGAAUAAUGGCCUUGGCAACAUAUUUCAAGAUCAUCGAAGUCGGUGAGGUGGGCACGAUUCUAGAUAAUUACCGAAUCUGCUUUCCAAUAAUAAAUAUCAUUUCCCACGAUGUUUAUAUUAUUUCAAAGAAAAUACUGAAAUUCAGAAGCAAAAAGGUCGAACGUAUAAAAAUAAACUCACUGGUGCGACAGGGUGAAUAUUCCUGUGACUCGUUGAAGUUGUUGCUGACGGCCCAGCAGGUGCCAACGGGUUCCCUUCUACUUCCAACGGGCGAGUCCUUGUUCCAUCGAUUGUCUUCCGGAUCGUACUUCUGUUGGGACACGGAGAACCAGAUGUACCUCGGGGCGCACGCCUGCAAGCAUAUCAAACAGGAACGUUUAACGUCGUUCGCCUCUCGCCACGCAUCGCGCUCUCGUAUUGUUAAUGGCCGUUCCAUCGCAAUUAGACGUAACGACCAGCCUGUCCACUCGUUAAGCACAUUUUGUUCCAACGUACAACAGGCAAGGACUUCCGUGCCGAUUGAAAUUCCACGUAAAUACACGUGGAUCGAUCUUUACGCAACCAAUUCCAAAUUCUUGUUUCGAUCGUCUUGAAGUAAAAUGGUAUUUCAAUUAAUAUACAGGUUUCCCUGUACAUUAAUAUUACGUUCGAUUACUUAACGACGAUUAUUAAGCAAAUUAUUUUCUUCCUCUUAGUUCAUUUCUCAAUGAAAACCAUUUCUUCUAAAUCUGUUAAAUUUAUGCACAUUCUCAAAAGUACGUACAAGCAAAUUGGAGUUUUCACUUCGAAACGUUACUCCGCAUUGUGUCAUCCGAUCUGCACGACUCUGUUACAAGCGUUGACUAAUUCGUAUUUUCGGCAGCGGUGUCACAAUUGACUUCGCAGUCGUCCGCUCGAAUCCUGGGACAAGGCUCGGUUCACGCGUAACGAUCAUCAUCGUGUUACGUCAAUCGUCUGUACUUGACCAGGCAACUAACUGUAGCAGCUGAUGGCCUUAAUAACCGGCGUAUAAAUAUACGUACAUAAUAAAACGUAACGACACGCUUCGCGUUUCAUCGAACAGGGAUCGGGUCUAAGAGAAUUCCCGUGAAAUUCGUCACGCGCCACCUCGUUACGGGACUCGUCGCUUAAGAGAAAACCACGACGGCUGGCAAAUUAAAUUAAUCGUAGAAUUCACGGAAAUUUUAGGACGAUGCCGAGAUUAAUGACUCACGACACGUCAAUCUCGUUAGGGUUAAAUGUAACGAUCGUACCUCCUCGUGAUGUAGCACAUCGCGAUCGUUAUGCUUCCAUUAAUCAUUUCUAUAUCUUUUGCAUUUCCAGUGAAAUAUUAUGGCAUCCUUUACCGCUCGAUUGCGUCGAGGAUCUGUGCUAAUUUCGCGCGAAAUAUCGCCCGGUUAUUUACCCUGCGUGAUCUUUGACUCCUAAUUCUUGUUUCUUGAUUGCACUGAUUUGACAGAUUUAGUUGGGUACGAUUUGUAAUAGUCGUAAAGUCACAGAUAAUGUAUCGGUCUUUGAAGUCUCUCUAUAUUCCAUUUGCAUUCUCGAGAGAAGGGUGGCACACAGCGAUACGGAAUUAUAAAUAAUGCUGUUAAGACGCGUAUCGGUAUCAGAAAUGCAAUGCUUAGGGAAGCGAUGCAGGAUUUCGUUUCUAUAGUCUUUGGAAAGGAAUUAACGCAGAGAUGUCGAACACGCAUACCUCACAUUUUAACGUAAUAAUUCUACUAUACGUUAAAUUUGGUUAAACAAAUUCUUUACUCGAUUUAACGUCGUUAUUUUUUAUCGUUCGCUCUUCGGUACUCGUUCGACGAUUAAUUUCAAUGCGAAACGAAUAUUAAGAAAGUAAUACUUUCACUGCAACCGAGCCCGGAAAAUAAACAGAUACAAAAAGAAAGAAAGACGAAAGAAAAUCCCACGAUAAAUCAAUCUGUGCUGCGUUAUUAAUUAAUUCCCUCGCAUGCACGAUUUCAUUCACCGCAAGGCUGAGAUUCUGUUCGUGCACGUAGCCAGCUCGUGCGUUCAAUUCGAACGGCUCGCCGUAAAUCAAACACCUUGAAAGGAGGCUCCGCUGCGUUUAAACGUGUCUACACGCAGAUUUAAGGGAGAGAACAAACGCGUGGUAUCGUCUCGGACGCGGUCCAGUAACAUUUUAAUCGGCUUCCAAGGCUAACUCUGUGUGUAAACGAGCCCUAACGAGCCGUAUAUGCUGAUUCCGCGUGCAGGAGGAUCGUAUGUUGUUGCCACGACCAGUACACGCAACACUGCAUUAUUAAUUGCGAGCCAAUUAAGGCGCGUUACAAUGUUACGUCGUAUCGCAGGCUCUCUGAAUCGGACGAUCAUCCAGCGUUCAUUGAAGAUUAAAGCGGAUCAUCGGGGAUUGAGACAUCCAGAGUGAAAGGCUGAACGGUUUCGGACGAUUCAAGCGAUUUAGGAAGUGGAAAUGAAUGUUAAUCCGCGCUUAGUAUGGAGUUGGGUGUGCUAAGUUUUAUACACGGUGACCCAUUUGAAGCGACACACGCACUUAUCUUCUAAACUAUUCGUUAUGCAAAGAAACGUUUCAAGUAGAACUUGCUGUACUUCGCAGCAGACAUCUCCUGACGAUCAAAAAUCUUAUCUACGAGCUUUCAAAAUUUCAAAGACCUUUAUUUGUUCGUAACGAAACUACAUACGUGUAGCUCGUUCUGCGACGUAUUUUUUGUUUUAUACUUUGAUAGACUGCGAAAGAAAUAUCUCCGCGAACAACUCGGGAAACCGUCGCGAAGCGAAUGGACAAAUUUCCAUGGACAAACCGAUUCUAACAUUCUCGGCUGCGAUCGUAUCGACAAGCAAUCGACUGUACGGUCGCUGGAAUCGAUUUAUUGUUGUUGCGUUGAGAAUACCGACGACUACGCUUGACGCGCGAUCGCGGGCAUCGGAAUCGAACGGUUCGAUGCAGAAAAGCGUACCAGGGUAGAACGAAGUGUCGCCGAGUCGUGACUUAAUUGAACGUAACGACCAGUUGUGUUCUUUCGCCGAUCGAGAGGCAGGGAACAGCCGACAGGAACGAGGAACGUGAAAAAAGAAGAGCCUGCGUCGAUGUGUACCGCAAUUUAUCCAUUGCGCCAGUUUAGCUCAAUCGCCCAAGGAUCACCGGCUCAGAUCGCGCGUACGACUCUUUUCAAAUACAAAAAUAUCCACUUAUGCAGCAAGCGCGUUUGCAACGUAAAAGAUGAGUCAUUUUUGUAUUGCUUCCUAUCUCUCGUUCUGUUACGAGCAAUAGAAAUAGCUGAAUUGAUUUUUGAGAAUCUUAUUAGAAUGCGUUUCGACCAUUGGAGCGCAACUGCUGUUGUUAAUCCAAAACACUAUUUUUUAAUCCAUCUAAUGACUCAGAAUCAAACAUACGAUAAACACUUAUUAUUCGCGUUAUAAUACCACGGCAGAAUAAUUUGCUUAUAAUUCUCAAUGAGAAUUGAUUGUAAAAUUCUUCCAAAUAAAAAGAAAUCUAAUGACACAAAAUUCCCAAAGAAUUUUCCAUCGUCUUCUAUCUCUAUCAAUUGGCAAACUAAAUCACAAAUUUAGGAACACGAUUAAUUUCCAACUGCGUCGAGUAAAAUCGAAUUCACGAGCAACUCUCAACCACUUCCUACUUCCUACCUCUCGAAAACUACCUCCGAGCUUACUCCCGUCAGAGGAAAAAAGAAAUGACUCGAGCAACGAAACAGCUGUUAGAACAAACGAAAAAGAGGCGGUUAAAAAAUACGGUGGAAUCAAGAGGUAUAAUAGAAGCGGACAGCCGCGUCGAAAUACAAGAAUGGGUUUGGUCAUCGGACGCGUUCCGAAUAAAGGCAGUCCUCGGUGAGCCCUUUGAAUGCAUCUCGUCGAGUGGUAGAAAAGGAGGGAGAGUCGAAGAAGGAGCGGACGAAGAGGCAAGCCUGGGAUUAUCACGGUUACAGCUGGUCUCGCGGAUCGAUCGUGAUCGAGCCUCUACGAGUAAAUCGAUCUUAUACGUUUGACAAUCGGGUUCGGAUGUAUCUUGAUCGAGAUACGUAUUAAGGAAUCGACAGCUGAUCGACGCGUGCACGCUGAAAAAGCAGAUGAGGAGAAACGUUUCGACACGUUCUCUCUUCCUUUUGUCCGGAUUACGUAUGUGUUACAAUGUUGCGAUGACCAACGCGCAGUGAAAAAGUUGCGGACGGACAGUUUUUCGAGAUCGAGAUCUUUGCGGCAACUGUAACUCGUUCUCGAGACACGAUACGUUCCUUUUUUCAAAUAAAUUAUACUUUCAAAAUGAA
Bombus terrestris (buff-tailed bumblebee) is the source of this 12029-nucleotide long non-coding RNA. RefSeq lists it as uncharacterized. The record is from RefSeq and is a predicted model, not a curated record. Lineage: Eukaryota; Metazoa; Arthropoda; Insecta; Hymenoptera; Apidae. The transcript has 2 exons.